Suricata suricatta (meerkat) is the source of this 395-nucleotide long non-coding RNA. RefSeq lists it as uncharacterized. NCBI's taxonomy places the organism in Eukaryota, Metazoa, Chordata, Mammalia, Carnivora, Herpestidae. The transcript has 3 exons. The record is from RefSeq and is a predicted model, not a curated record.
CUUUGAGUUCUUAGAGAGUUGCUGAAGCACAAAAAUGAUUUUGCACCUGAGUUGUAAAGUUCCAGAAUCUGUAGGAGGGGCAGAACAAAGUUAAGUGUCCGCGCUGGGCAAGAAGGACACACAGACAUACGUGAUCCAGAGUUUCUGAGCCUAAAAGGAAGCAGAAGGUGCCUAUGUAGGAGGCUGCCAAGGGUGGAGAAUCAGAAUGUGGAGGUGUGAGGAGCAUGUCAAUGCUCAAGGACAGCCUUGCACAGGGUAUCAAAGAGCAUGCAACCUUCAGACUCGUUUGCUGGUCACUGCGCUUCACCACACCUGCUUUCUUAUUAAGUUGCGAACUGGAAAGCCGCCUGUAUCACCUACUAGCCAAAAGGAGAAUUUCUUUAACAAAAUGUAAA